This 253-nucleotide ribosomal RNA is filed under the name uncultured bacterium. Its description in RNAcentral is "partial 16S ribosomal RNA". It matches the Rfam family "Bacterial small subunit ribosomal RNA", at positions 524 to 776 of the family's 1533-position model. The record is from RNAcentral.
UACAGAGGUCUCAACCGUUGUUCGGAUUCAUUGGGCGUAAAGGGUGCGUAGGCGGUCGCGCAAGUCGGAUGUGAAAUCUCGAGGCUCAACCUCGAAACUGCAUUCGAUACUGCAUGGCUAGAGUGCUGGAGGGGAGACUGGAAUUUACGGUGUAGCAGUGAAAUGCGUAGAUAUCGUAAGGAAGACCAGUGGCGAAGGCGAGUCUCCGGACAGCAACUGACGCUGAGGCACGAAGGCCAGGGGAGCAAACGGG